GCACACACCUAUAGUCCCAGCUGCUUGGGAUGCUUAGGCAGGUGGAUCAGUUGAGCCCCGAAGUUCUGAGCUAUACUGUGCUGUGCCAAUUGGGUGCCUACACUAAGUUCAGCACCAGCAUGGUGAUGUCUAGGAGCACGGGAACACCAGGUUGUCUAAGGAGGGGUGAACUGGCGCAGGUCAGAAACAAAGUAGGUCAAAACUCCUAUGCCGAUUAGUAGUGGGAUUGCGCCUGUGAACAGCCACUGUACUCCAGCCUGGGCAACAUAGCGUGAGGCCCUGUUUCU
RNAcentral lists this signal recognition particle RNA (287 nucleotides) under Cebus imitator (Panamanian white-faced capuchin). RNAcentral describes it as "Metazoan signal recognition particle RNA (ENSCCAG00000013088.1)". It matches the Rfam family "Metazoan signal recognition particle RNA". From Rfam's summary of the family: The signal recognition particle (SRP) is a universally conserved ribonucleoprotein. It is involved in the co-translational targeting of proteins to membranes. The eukaryotic SRP consists of a 300-nucleotide 7S RNA and six proteins: SRPs 72, 68, 54, 19, 14, and 9. The record is from RNAcentral. Lineage: Eukaryota; Metazoa; Chordata; Mammalia; Primates; Cebidae.